Pseudopodoces humilis (Tibetan ground-tit) is the source of this 961-nucleotide long non-coding RNA. RefSeq lists it as uncharacterized. The record is from RefSeq and is a predicted model, not a curated record. Lineage: Eukaryota; Metazoa; Chordata; Aves; Passeriformes; Paridae.
UCAAGUUUCUCCUUGAAAGAUUCUGUCCACCGGGAGAGGUCCGAUGAUCUGAACAUCCACAGACUGGGAGAAGUCAGAAGAUACAGAGGAGAUAAGUGACCAAUAGCGAAUAUUAACCAACAUCACCUCCCUGGCUUGGUUAAGGGCAAUUGGGCCAGGAAAUUGAUCCCAGUUGGUGAGAGAACUGAAAAAUGAGGACCAAAUUAGCAUCGAAUAUGAAGGGAUCAAGGACUGAUAGGAUAUCAAAUACUAAGAAUUGUGUAAUUUAAGACCAGUGAAUGAGAAUUUCUUUGGGGUUUUUGUCUGUAUAGAUACUGGAAACAUCAGGUCAGAGACUACAGGUGGAUAGAAUGUUUUCCAUGGCACGUCCUGGCCAGAACAAGGGUCACUCCGGACUCUGCCGGAGCUGGGCCGGGAGUGGCACGUGUGGCAGUCCAGAGGCACGAGGAUCACUGCCCUGCCGGCCCUUCCAGCCGAGUGACAGGGAUUGCUGGUGCAUGGUGUGACUUCCUCCAGCCAUACUUCCCUCCCCUGUGGGAUGAGGAGACAAGCUGGAACAUGAAUGCAGAUGGGCAGCUGUCCCCGGGAAAGCCAGGCUCCAGACAAGUGGGGUGGGGGUUGUGAGCCAUAGCAGGAUCCCAAAUCACCUGGCUGCAGGAGGGAGCUGUGGAAUCCAGCCCCUGUGUUGCCAUUUGGUUCAAUAAACUGCAUUAUUAAGAUAGUAACAAACGUUAAUAGUUAACAUUAGUUGACAUUAGUAGUAGUUAUGCUAAGGCUUGGUAGGCCACAUGUAACCUGCAGAUGAACUAUAUAGCAGAUAUUGCAAUGUAAGCAGUGUAACUAGGAGAUAAUCUAGGAAUGUACCUUUUGGCAAAACUUAAAUGUCAGAGAGAUAAUCGUACCAGGUAGUGAAAGAGAAGUAAGAAAUUGUGAUGAUGAAGAAAUCGUGUAGAAAACAUAC